UAGGUGCCAUUCAAGCUGUCGCUCCUGCCGCCCAAAACCUCGCUGCCGUUGCCGGAGAACUCUGUCGGUAAGGGUUUUAAAUUUGUGGUUUCGGUCAUUUUGAGUUUCGAGAAGGUUUUGAUGCUGCGCGGUUUUUAUAGAUGACCCACCGGAGCUUCUGGCCACCGCCGGAGCUGCUGCCGGGCCAGUUCAAAAUCGCAGCUGCUUCGUGUUGAAAUUUUGAGCUGAUUAUGUUGCUGCGAAUAUGUGUGGGGCUGUGCCUUGAAGCUGCCUUUGAUUUUAAGUUGAGGCGAAAAGAACUUUUGAGGCGCUUGGAUUAUGGAAUUGCGUUUUGAGGAUAUGGGUGCAGAAGUUACGAAGGGUUUAUUUAGUUGUUGUUGAGAUGCUUUGUAUUGCUUUAGAAUAUUAUUUAUUGUACCCUCGCCUUUAUCUUGAGAUGUUCUGUAAGAGGGUUAAGAAUUGUAUUGGAUAAUGUUUGUAGUAUUAUUUAUAUAUAUGUAUGUAUAUAUAUAUGGUGUACUCUUGAUGAGCUUUUGUAAGUUGUAUGGUAUCUAUGGAUGUACGUUAUCGAACAAAAGUAAUUUUUGGAGCGGUAUUGCGGUUUAAAGUUUUAAA
Molecule: long non-coding RNA, 615 nt
Organism: Arachis duranensis
Lineage: Eukaryota; Viridiplantae; Streptophyta; Magnoliopsida; Fabales; Fabaceae
Exons: 3
Source: RefSeq, a predicted model, not a curated record